This is a long non-coding RNA of Carcharodon carcharias (great white shark), 210 nucleotides long. RefSeq lists it as uncharacterized. NCBI's taxonomy places the organism in Eukaryota, Metazoa, Chordata, Chondrichthyes, Lamniformes, Lamnidae. The transcript has 3 exons. The record is from RefSeq and is a predicted model, not a curated record.
GAACUUUGGUCUUCCUGAUGAUGAUUGUCGGUUCAAAGUCCUUGCAGGUUCUUCUUACCAUGACAACCAAUCUACAAGCUGGUGCAAGUGAAACUCAGUAUCCUUUGAUGGACAAGCAAAAGACCCAGUUUCAGGAAACUGGUACAUGUACAACAGUGAGACUGGGUAAUGGAAAUGGAUGAGUGAUGGAUAGAAACUACUGGGAAUUAC